GUGCUCGCUUCGGCAGCACAUAUACUAAAAUUAGAAGAACGAUACAUACAGACUAGAUUAGCAUGGCCCCUGAGCAAGGAUGACAUGCAAAUUCGUAAGCGUUCCAUAUUUUU
Molecule: small nuclear RNA, 113 nt
Organism: Panthera leo (lion)
Lineage: Eukaryota; Metazoa; Chordata; Mammalia; Carnivora; Felidae
Source: Ensembl